Molecule: long non-coding RNA, 1578 nt
Organism: Astatotilapia calliptera (eastern happy)
Lineage: Eukaryota; Metazoa; Chordata; Actinopteri; Cichliformes; Cichlidae
Source: Ensembl
GUUGCAUGUGAAUAUGCAGAAUCUGUAUGAAAGGAGCUUUCUGGGUUUUGUUUGUGGUAUAUUUGGUACUAUUGACACAAUUAUUUUGUGCAAGCAUUGGUUACACGCAAUCAGUCCAUGACAGGAUGUGUACUAGUAAAACUAAGUUGAAGUUUUAGGUGCCUACUAGCAUUUUCAAAUGUGUUUGCGUCUCUAAAUGGGUGAAAAAUGAACCUAAGUGCCUGAAGCCUGCGUUCUAUUUAAUGGCCAGUAGGAGGCAACAGCACAGACACACACAAAAAAGUUUGAUUGUGUGGAAAUCUAUGAGAAAAUGAUCUUUUGAUUUCCUUGAUCUGUGACCUCAGUAAACACUUCCCUGAGGAGUUUAUGUUACCAGUUGAAAGUGUCAAGUCUUAUUCGUGAUAAAAUGAUGUUUGUUUGUUUGUUUUUCUUAAAUUAAGGCCCAAAAGCAUGCAGGAAAAAGUGGGAAAACUUUGAGGGGCCUGCUUUUUAAUUAACAAGUUGCAUAUAUUUGACCAGCUGCUGGGGACACCUUCAUGUUUACUGCACAAACACGAGAAUGUGAUGGCACGGAAACCUGUCAUAGCCAUUGCUUCUACGUAACUGUUGUUGUGAAGAAGCUCAGACAGCAUGAUGAACGUCAGCCCACCAAAGAAAUCUUCUGCUGUUCAUUGCUGCUUCAGAUUGUCAGCCCUGAAGGACUGCUAACACUGUCUACCCUCUGGAUUUGUAAGGAGUAAUUAGCAUUGAUAAAUAUUCAUCGCAGAUGUGAAAUGAUUUGUUUCAUAAUCUUCUUUGAGCUGUUUGAUUUUCUUUGAUUAAAUGGUUAGCUUGAGUGAUCGUUUUCAGCAGAAUUUGAGCAGCUAGGUGAAGAAAUCCCCAAGAAGCAGCUCUCUUUCCCUCCUCCUUCUCUCCACGCCAUGAAAACUUCACCCUUUAUUUCCAGGCAAACCUCCAUGCAGGUUUGAGCUGUUCUCUUAGAUAUACAGCCAGGCGCGGUAAAGAAUAAUAACAUGUCAAAGACGCUCACACCACCACAGACCACAGAAAAUGGAACACGCCUCAGGGUGGAUAAACGCUUCAAGAUUUCUCGUACUUCUCUUGAAUUUAAUAAGUGCCCCAAACCCCCUGCCUACUGCUCAGGAUCAGAGGACAAAAAGAGGAGAGAAAGAAAACAGUACUGAGACACUAUUUUCAUGUUGACCUUGCUAGAAGAUAGCAGUACGGUUUUGUUAUUUCAGCUACUAUGAAAUAUAUCCCAUGGCUGCUUGAGACCACCGAUGUAAAAACUUAAAUUGCAUUUGUAGGUUUUUUGUUUGUUUUUUUGUUCCUGAUGAAUCUCCUGGGACAUGGACAGUAAAAAGAAAGAUUUGCUCAGAUGGAAAAUCACACAGUUGUUCGUGCUGAUGUUGAUUAGAAAAUCAAUUCCCAGGAAUUCCCAGCCCAGCAGAACUAAUAUGGCUUUAAUCUAUUGCUUGGUGUACUACAGGGAUUACAGUGGUGCUGCAGGACCAGGAUUUAGUCUUGAAGUUAUGUGCAUGUCAAUUUGCAAAUGCAUCACAGGAAUGUAUUUACUGG